Molecule: ribosomal RNA, 468 nt
Filed under: uncultured bacterium
Lineage: Bacteria
Description: partial 16S ribosomal RNA
Rfam family: Bacterial small subunit ribosomal RNA
Source: RNAcentral
GAUGAACGCUGGCGGCGUGCUUAACACAUGCAAGUCGAACGGAAAGACCCUGCUUUUGUGGGGUGCUCGAGUGGCGAACGGGUGAGUAACACGUGAGUAUCCUGCCCUUGACUUUGGGAUAACUUCAGGAAACUGGGGCUAAUACAGGAUAGGAGCUCCUGCUGCAUGGUGGGGGUUGGAAAGUUUCGGCGGUUGGGGAUGGACUCGCGGCUUACCAGCUUGUUGGUGGGGUAGUGGCUUACCAAGCCUUUGACGGGUAGCCGGCCUGGGAGGGGGACCGGCGACAUUGGGACUGAGGGACGGCGCAGACUGGUACGGGAGGCAGCAGUGGGGAAUAUUGCACAAUGGGCGGGAGCCUGAUGCAGAAGCGCCGCGUGCGGGAAGACGGCCUUCGGGGUAUAAACCGCUUUCGCCUGUGACGAAGCGUGAUUGACGGUAAUGGGUAAAGAAGCACCGGCUAACUACGUG